UGUGUUACCUUCAGCAGGCUGUGUGAUGUUCCAGGUGGGCAGGUACUCUGUGUGUGUGUGUGUGUGUGUGUGUGUGUGUGUGUGUGUGUGUGUGUGUGUGUGUUACCUUCAGCAGGCUGUGUGAUGUUCCAGGUGGGCAGGUACUCUGUGUGUGUGUGUGUGUGUGUGUGUGUGUGUGUGUGUGUGUGUGUGUGUGUGUGUGAGUGUGUGUGAGUGUGUUACCUUCAGCAGGUUGUGUGAUGUUCCAGGUGGGCAGGUACUGUGUGUGUGUGUGUGUGUGUGUGUGUGUGUGUGUGUGUGUGUGUGUGUGUGUGUGUGUUACCUUCAGCAGGCUGUGUGAUGUUCCAGGUGGGCAGGUACUCUGUGUGUGUGUGUGUGUGUGUGUGUGUGUGUGUGUGUGUGUGUGUGUGUGUGUGUGUGUGUGUGUGAGUGUGUUACCUUCAGCAGGUUGUGUGAUGUUCCAGGUGGGCAGGUACUCUGUGUGUGUGUGUGUGUGUGUGUGUGUGUGUGUGUGU
Molecule: long non-coding RNA, 515 nt
Organism: Silurus meridionalis
Lineage: Eukaryota; Metazoa; Chordata; Actinopteri; Siluriformes; Siluridae
Exons: 3
Source: RefSeq, a predicted model, not a curated record